Long non-coding RNA from Hibiscus syriacus, 892 nucleotides. RefSeq lists it as uncharacterized. NCBI's taxonomy places the organism in Eukaryota, Viridiplantae, Streptophyta, Magnoliopsida, Malvales, Malvaceae. The transcript is spliced from 6 exons. The record is from RefSeq and is a predicted model, not a curated record.
UUCAUUUUUCCUUCGUUUUCUCAAACCCUUGCGCUGCUCACCCUUUUAGUCUUCGCUGCUUCCGUUCAUACCUCACCGUCAUCGUUUGUCGUCGAGGUAAGACCGUUGGUCACGUUACACCUGAUUUCUUGAUCGACGAACACCGCCGGUUUUGUAAUUUGUAAUCUAAACCGCCAGCCGAAAUUUGCUUCGUUCCCGUCACUUCUCCGCCGCCGUAGGGGUUCUUUUCGGCCGUUCAAGGCCACCUUGAGACCGGGUUAUCGUCGGGGAAGGCCUAACCGACCUCGGUUGCGGCUGAACAACCCCGUUUUCGUCAUAAAACCACUGCUGCCUCUUUCCGGAAACACUGUCUCCGGCCGUUUAAGGCCACGGCAAGGCUGGCCGUGAGAUCCUCGACCUUUGGGACUGCUCAGUUAUCGAACUGUAAUCAGAAUUACCGUCCCCUUCGCCUUUGCUGUUAUUUUUGAAAUGACUCGAAUUACAAGAACGUCCGAGCGGAUUCAGUUUGACCCAUUGUUUGAGCUGACCAUGGGAGUUAAUACGAUCUUCGUUGGCUGUUUUGUCGAGUUCAAAGGCCUGCAAAAUACGCCAAGCAGCUUAAAGUCUCAUCUGAAGAUAAAGCCAAGCCAACUGGUGAAGUUGUGUAAGAAAAGCGGGAAAUUUUGGAUGCCCUAAUCUCGUACGAAAUGAACACAGUCGAAAACCAAAGCGAAGCUCCAUUCAUCAAAGCUUUGGUCCUCUCUUCAACCUCACGGAAAUCCACUUAUGGGACGAUGAUUUCACGGAGUUCGGGAUUUUUCUUUCUUAUCUGACAGCAAUUAUUUAAAUGCAGAAAUCAUCUCGACAAAACGAUAAGAACCGCUCAAGAACUUUUCACGCAACCUGUGGCAAG